GGGAGGUUCCGCUAGGUUGGCUGGCGAUCCGGUUUGAACCCGGAGGGACCGGAAACGGUAGGGGUUCGACUCCUCAGCCUCCCGCCA
RNAcentral lists this transfer RNA (87 nucleotides) under Candidatus Competibacteraceae bacterium. RNAcentral describes it as "tRNA-Ser". The record is from RNAcentral. Lineage: Bacteria; Pseudomonadati; Pseudomonadota; Gammaproteobacteria; Candidatus Competibacteraceae.